UACGUAGGGGGCGAGCGUUCUCCGGAAUUAUUGGGCGUAAAGGGCGCGUAGGCGGUCCUGUACGUGUUGGGUGACAAUUCCUGGCUCAACCAGGAGAGGUCCCAAUAGACGGCAGGUCUUGAGAGCGAGAGAGGGACAUGGAAUUCCAGGUGGAGCGGUGAAAUGCGUAGAGAUCUGGAAGAACACCGAAGGCGAAGGCAAUGUCCUGGCUCGUUUCUGACGCUGAGGCGCGAAAGCCAGGGGAG
This 245-nucleotide ribosomal RNA is filed under the name uncultured bacterium. RNAcentral describes it as "partial 16S ribosomal RNA". It matches the Rfam family "Bacterial small subunit ribosomal RNA", at positions 524 to 768 of the family's 1533-position model. The record is from RNAcentral.